UAAAACCAUUUAUUUGCUAAUUGCAAACCUUCUACGUCUUCUGCCUUUAUCCCAAAGACCCAAAUCAAAACCGAUCUCUUGUCGCUCUCUUCUCCGACUCACCAUUUUUACUCUCUAUCUCCACUCUUUAGUCUCGUCUGGUUUGAGUCAUCUUCGGUCUCGUCAGAGUCAUCUUUGUUGCUGCUCAUCGACAAUCGAUUGAGUUAUCGACAGUCGACAGAUCACAGAUCGACUCUCCAAUCACCAUCUCAGUCUCUAUCUUCUUUCUCGGUCUCCGAUCA
RNAcentral lists this long non-coding RNA (281 nucleotides) under Panax ginseng (ginseng). RNAcentral describes it as "long non-coding RNA (PGIN_LNC000883)". Lineage: Eukaryota; Viridiplantae; Streptophyta; Magnoliopsida; Apiales; Araliaceae. The record is from RNAcentral.